CCCUUAGAUGUUCUGGGCCGAACGCGUGCUACACUGAGUGGAUCAGCGGGUCAGGUUGCGCGAAAGCGUUUCCUAAUCUUUAAAUCCGCUCGUGAUGGGGAUUGACGGUUGCAAUUUUCUGUCAUGAACGAGGAAUACCUUGUAAGCGCGGGUCAUCAUCCCGCGCUGAAUACGUCCCUGCCCUUUGUACACACCGCCCGUCGCUCCUACCGAUUGAGUGGUCCGGUGAGGCUUUGGGAUCUGAGCGGAAAGAGCGUUUCGCUGUUUCUGCUCGGAAAACUCAGUCGAACCUUAUCAUUUAGAGGAAGGAGAAGUCGUAACA
RNAcentral lists this ribosomal RNA (322 nucleotides) under uncultured eukaryote. RNAcentral's name for it is "partial 18S ribosomal RNA". It matches the Rfam family "Eukaryotic small subunit ribosomal RNA", at positions 1470 to 1796 of the family's 1831-position model. The record is from RNAcentral.